GGUGAAGAUUGCAAGUGAAUGC
RNAcentral lists this non-coding RNA (22 nucleotides) under Arabidopsis thaliana (thale cress). The record is from RNAcentral. Lineage: Eukaryota; Viridiplantae; Streptophyta; Magnoliopsida; Brassicales; Brassicaceae.